GACCAUUAUUCCUCAACAUUCCUUUUCACGUGUAGAGCCUAAGUAAGGUUUUAACAACCUAUCUAGCUUAGGAGAUGGAAUCCACUGCCUUUACAAAGAUGAUGGACAAAAGGCUAGACAAGUUAUCAAGGCAAUCCAAUUCUAAAGUGAAAAUUUAGAUGUUUAGAUAGAUGAGUCAAAGAGUAUAUAAGUAUCAUAAG
RNAcentral lists this long non-coding RNA (200 nucleotides) under Elaeis guineensis (African oil palm). RNAcentral describes it as "long non-coding RNA (EGUI_LNC010921)". Lineage: Eukaryota; Viridiplantae; Streptophyta; Magnoliopsida; Arecales; Arecaceae. The record is from RNAcentral.